RNAcentral lists this ribosomal RNA (33 nucleotides) under Pythium aphanidermatum. RNAcentral describes it as "partial 28S ribosomal RNA". The record is from RNAcentral. Lineage: Eukaryota; Oomycota; Peronosporomycetes; Pythiales; Pythiaceae.
AUGGACCUGAUAUCAGUAAGAUACCCACUUAUU